GACGAACGCUGGCGGCGUGCUUAACACAUGCAAGUCGAACGGAUCUUCUGGUUUUCGGACUGGUUGGUUAGUGGCGAACGGGUGAGUAACACGUGAGUAACCUGCCCCUCUCUUUGGGAUAACUGCGAGAAAUUGUAGCUAAUACCGAAUAUUCACUUCCUGUCGCAUGGUGGGGGGUGGAAAGAUUUUUUGGUGGGGGAUGGGCUCGCGGCCUAUCAGCUUGUUGGUGGGGUGAUGGCCUACCAAGGCUUUGACGGGUAGCCGGCCUGAGAGGGCGACCGGCCACACUGGGACUGAGAUACGGCCCAGACUCCUACGGGAGGCAGCAGUGGGGAAUAUUGCACAAUGGGCGAAAGCCUGAUGCAGCAACGCCGCGUGCGGGAUGACGGCCUUCGGGUUGUAAACCGCUUUCACCAGGGGCGAAUUUGGACGGUACCUGGGGAAGAAGCACCGGCUAACUACGUG
This 465-nucleotide ribosomal RNA is filed under the name uncultured organism. Its description in RNAcentral is "bacterial SSU rRNA". It matches the Rfam family "Bacterial small subunit ribosomal RNA", at positions 28 to 507 of the family's 1533-position model. The record is from RNAcentral.